GCCGGCCCUCGGCACUCGCCCAUGGCCGGCGGGACUGCACCACAAGGGGCGGUGGAAGGGGAAUGGCCGCGGCCGCUCCGCCCCCGGGGACGGCUCGGUAACUGCGUAACACACAGGCAGCUUGUGAAGGGCCUGUGAGCGUGCGUAUGAUUAAUAUUUGUUUCUGUCCCUUCUUGCAAGCUGAGAGAUCUCAUCCAGAGCUGGGAACCAUCAGAGUUCCCUAGUUUCCUCUUUCCCUCCUCAUCCCGAAGGUGGCCAGGCCCUCGGGCACCUUUUCUGUAGACAUGUGAGUCCUGUACCAAAAUAACCAGUCCUAUAGGAGAGAAGAAAGGCCCCACCGAAUGGAUACAGCAGUUUGUCACAGAGACCUGAAAUCAAAGAUGCAAAUCUAAAAACAAACGCCAGUGAGAACUAAAAGGUUUUCAGCAUCAAGACCGGCAGCACGUAAGCAGGACUGACCCACUCUUUGGAGGCCAGUCCUCUGGAGCCGAGUGUGGUCCCUUGAAGAGGAGGAGAAGGAAGACAUGGAAGCCUGGUGAUCCUCAGUGGAAAUGAGUCCGUAAAGACUGUUCACCCUCCCUGUGACUGCUGCCCAGUGCUCCCCAGUCCAAGUGCGGGCCAAACAUCCUCAGCCCCCCUGCAGCCAGGGAAAGGACACGGUGCACAGGACACCUGGCUGCCACAGUGACUGAGGCCUCCCCUUUCUCCCUUCCCAAGCAUGGGAAGUGGGAGUUGGGCCAGCUGGGCUCCUCUGGACUGCAUCUGCUUCCUACAGCUUUUUUAUGCCUUGUGAGAGAAAGUCAAGCCUCACCAGGGCAGGAGAUAAGAAAAGUGGUGAAAUCUGUGCAGCACACCUGAGUAAGCAUGAGAACAGCUCUGGUUUUCUUACAUGGGAGUUUUCUGAGGUGCAGAAACACCUGCCUAAGCAGCAAGUUACUAAAGAGCGCACCAGAACACAGAAACAGUAAAUGAGAAAAGGUGGUUUCACACUAACAACAUCCGCUGUUACCUGAGUACUGCUCUUUCUGAGACAGCCUUUAAGUUUUAUUACCCAGAGAUACCUGUACAAGUUGUUUAAUCUUCAUAUCCAAAACCACUCCACUUGUGUAUUGAAUACCAGAGAUUUCAGCUUUUUGUCCAGAGCACAAAAUUAGAGGGACACUGAUGCAGAGCAAACCUGACUCAUUUACACUGGCAAAGUCUACUGGUGUGUGUAAUAGAGCACGAUGGUGGUAAGAGGGAGAUGCGUGAAUUUCUGGGCCAAAACCAACAAGCGGCAGACUAUUCGUAUUAAAUGACAUCAACAUGCCUGGCAGUUGUCUUUGUCCCCUAACCUGAUUAUCUUGGCUGCUGUUUCAGAAUUCCCCAAAUGAUGGAAUGUCCUGUUCUAACAAGGUUUAAGCACUACCACAAAUUAAUACAAUUAGCAAAAGAUAGGAAUUAAAUUAUUUGGAGAUAACUUCUUAAACUCACACCUGCCCUUUUACCAACACACAGCAAAAGUCUAUUUACAUGGUGUCUGAAGAUUCAUAUACAAAGGAAAAAUACUGCAAAGGAAAUGUACCUCAAGGAUUAACAAAAGAGUAGUUGGCUGUUCUUGCACCUCCACAGAAAUUCACCAACUUCUGUUAGUUUUGUUUUAUAUAAAUUAAUUAAAUCACGUACACAACACUGAAAAGCACUUGUGGAACUAUAGAAGAGUUUACAAGCCGAAUAAACAUACAUAUGCAAUAUUGCAUUAUGCUCAGUUUUGCAAAAUUCCACAUUACUCAGCUGUACCUACAAUGCCCUGUUUAGAACAAGCUCCCUGCUGGGGGCAUGGAAGCUGUAGUCCUUCCUUAGCUCCCAAAUGCCAGGUGUCAUGGCAGUGGUCCUGCCCCGGCCCUCACGGCCCAGUACCUGCGCUGAUCACAACAAGCACAUGUGCUGGGAGUUGUGGAGGUGUUUCUGCAUGGGGAGGGACUCUGAUCCACAGGACCACGUCCACUGCAGAAAGCAUGGCACAACUCUUGGAGGUGCAGGACACUCCACAGCAGGGAGGGAAGAAGACCCAUGAGAACAGGCCCUCCCAAGGGUGGCCUGCGGCUCCACAACAGCUCUCUCACUCCGGUAAUUGCAAUUAAUGAAGGUGCAGCAGCAGCACACAUUGUUAGGACACUACUGGACAGACACAGACCUAACAGGCUCACUAGCACAGCUUUGCAUGCCCAAAGCUUGCACUUUCACAGAAAGGCCAAGUCCCCAAAUUUUAUCUAAGGCAUUCCAAUUGCUGCUUUAACUAUAAUGCCUCUUCCCUUCCUCCCCCAAAAACUGUUACUUUUUUGGGGAAUACUUAGCUGCCUUUUAAAAAUGGUUUAUAAAAUUCUUUUUUUUAUAUGAAAAUACCAUUUUAGUCAAACUGAAAAUUUUUCAUUUACAAAUUAGAGUCAAAUCUGCUUUUCAGCUUAGUACUGUUUACUGUAGGAAAAUCAAUUUCUGAAUAAUUUCAGUAUGUCUAAAGCAUAAAAUUCCCCUAAAUCUCCUAGCGGAGAAACCUUAUCUUAGGUUGUGGCAACACGCUAUUUUCCAGGAGGUUCACAUGACUACAGUAUUCAAGCAUAGGCAUUUGUGUUAGCUGCCACAGCCACUGGACAAAGGGAUACUGAAAAGUUUCACCAUUAUAGAAAAACAGUCCUGAAACACCUGGGAGCAACCAAGUGCCUUGUUAUACUAAAGUCUAUUACUAUGAUAGUAACUCACGGUGAUAAUAGACAAAAAACACCUUUAUAUUAAGCCAUUGGCAAAGGGGGGAAAAUAGUCUUUCACAGGAUUGUGUUUCAAGCAAGACAUCCUCAAGGUUUUUUUGUGGACAACUCCACAAAAAAAUCCUUAAGAGAUAUAAAAAAUUUAAAAGCCCUUCAUGCUUCUCAAUUUAGCAAAUCUGCUGAGUAAGAUACUCAAAGAGCUGCAAAUGAAAACCACGAAAGCAAUUUCCAACUAGCAAAAAGGAUGCAUCAGAGCUCCUGAUGAUGCUAAGAAGUCCUGUCAGGCAAGGACUACACUGUGAUGGAGGCCAGAUUCCAGCUGUGAAGCCUGUUGGCAUCCUCCCCACACAGACCAUGUGGGAACUUCCAGCACUGUGAGUUCAAGGACUGUAGUCACUGAAGCUUUCACAUGACCCAUUCACCUACCCAUUUUAAAUGCGUGUGGACAUUCAUUCCACCUCAGGGUAAGUUAAUGCUACAAGUGCUGAAAUGCAGUUAAUCCAAACUUGCAGAAUUUUCUAUUUGACUUUGGCAGACCUGUUAUUAAAUAGGCAACCUGAGGAGUUCAGAAAAAAGGUCAAAUCCUAGAAAGCUUGAAAAGAGAAAGGGAAUCAGAGCUACUGAGCAAGGUAUCUGUAGUUUGCCCUACAGAGUGGAAGCCAGAGAAAUGCAAGUGUCAGUGAAGCAAGGAGUACAAACGCAGAAGCAGCUCAGAAUGGCAUUUACAGAUGCACACACAAGAGACAUGGUCCACAGGUCAUAGGACACUAUAAAAAGGGAGUUAGGGCACAGCAAUGAGCAUCUGAAGAGGAGGUUACUACAAACCUACUGAACAAUCUUUCAUGUGGUGUUAAGAGUGACCAAGAGCCAUGCUGAAUUUGGGCUCCCCUGAGAAACCAACUCAUGGGAGGUGGUAGUGGUGACUGGGGAACUUCUCCCACCUGCACAGCAACUACCUGCUCCCUACACACUUCUCUUCAGAUCCACAUGUGGAAGUAAGCUUUUGAAAAACAGCAGGUCUCUAUAAUUUGCACAAUUGCAAAGAUAAACAUAGCUUAAGAGAUGAGGGAAAUUUCCUUUCCUCUGCUUCCCUGAAUGCUGCUGUACAAGGGUGUUGCUUUGGAUUCACAAAUUUACCAGUUUACCAGUUAUCUAAUGACCAAAUGACUAACUUGCAGGAAGAAAAGGCACUCCCAAAUCAAACAGAUGAGAAAGGCCACAUGAUGUCAAGUAAGUCUAUACAAUUUUUCACUCCUGGAAAAUUAUCAAAGCUGGAGCAAGCGAUUACCUUCUGUAUUGGAUACAGCUAAAACCAGAAACCAACACCAAGAAUUAGCCAUGGAAGUUAGAACUACAGUGUCAGUUUUCCCUAGAUUCAGAUUAGGAACUACUCUAGUAGUUGAGCAUAACAUUUUAUUAGUAGCUACCUUUAUCUCCUCUUUCAGCAGUUAUGAACAGCUGGGGAUUUAGACUAUUAAAAAAGUCUAAACAUUACAAAAUUUUCCUUUAGCUAGUUUCUUUACCACAUUUUAAGUGAACUAACAGAAGGGCUUAAGUCAAAGGGAAAGGAGGUGUAUGAUUUUAAUAAACAUUUUUCUUAUUAAAAUCUUGAUAUAGUUUAUACCAUACAGAGGAAAAAAAGCUAUUUAUAAAGCUACAUACACAUUUCAAGUCAAUGAUGACAGCAUAAAUCAUUCUAAAUUCCCUCCCUGCUUAUCAGAAUGCCUUGUGUGUGUAUAUAUGGUGAGCUACUGUGCUAUCUGCAUAACUUUUGUCUAGCUAUACAUUACAGGACUUAAAAAAUGUUUAAGCUAUAUACAGAAAUAUAUAUACAUAUAACAUAUAUUUAUAUGUUAUACAUACACAUACACUUAUAUACAUAUACACACAAUACAUAUAUAUAUAUACACAGUACUUUACAUGUAUAUAUGGCCUUUCAUCCAAGGGCAUUGGAUACUUUUUAGUACAUCAAGCCUCACAAAGCUUUGUGAGGGAGGGAGCUUUAUUUUACAGACUGUAGAUUUGAUGCCUAUUCUAAACAGUUUCUUUUGUUGCUUUCCACUAAGUUUACACAUUUCAGUUAGAGGCGAUUUUGGUAGUAGAAGUAAUCACACCAGUUUGAAAUCCUGGCAUAAGGUGUAUGUUGCUCUGUACCUUUGUAACUCACUCUCCUUAGUAUUAAAGAGCAGCCAUACCAAACACCUCUAUCUAGAUUUGCGAGGCUGUACUGCUUUUUAUUUUUAAUUGAUACUAACAUAGUAAAAUCUGAUAAGUUUUGAACUUAAGGUACACUGGAAAGGUACAACAGGAAAUCUCGAACAGCCUCCAAUCCUCGUAUAUUGAAACUAUCCUUUUCUAGGAUGAUUGAUUUAGAGGAAGUAUUAGUACCUGCAGAAAUAAUUCUACAUCUAUUUAUUUAAUUUAUCUGCAGUUUAACUACACAAGCCCGAAACAGCCUUACUUAGAAAACAGGAUUUUUAGCAACAAUUUGGCAACUGGUGAUGAGACUGUUGUACUGUACUCCAUAUCUCUAGCAACUAAAUAAAUGAUGAAAACAGAGGCUUUUUUUGAAAAUCAGAUGUAGGUAACUUCUGGUCAUCCUCAGACUAGCUGACAGAAAGGAAGACCCACUGGAGCUCUGGCAAAGGUGAGUUCAACUCGGAUUUUGAUGGAACAUAAUUUUAGCUCUUCCCAACAAAAGGAAAUAAAAAAACCCACUAACAUGGACUCAUGGGGUUGGAAAAGCAAGAAAGAGGGAGAACAUCAGCACCACAAAACCUCUUACCCCUUCAAUACUUCAGUCUGCUAAGCUUUCAGAAAUUUGUUUUGACACAGAAAAAGUAUCUUCCUCCUUUAUUAAUCAAUUCCUAUCUCUCAAAAAUCUCUCAAGCCUUAGGGAAAAGAAGUCAUAGGUCAAAGACUGCCCUCCCCAAAAGCAACCAACCACUUCAAAAGUGAACAUAAAAUGCGGUUUGAGAAUUUUAUUCUAACCUAAUUACCUUGAGAUUUUUCAGAACAAGCCACUUUUCCUUCAAAUCAAUUCUGUGAAAAGAAGGGGUUGCCUGGCCCAUUUCUUUCAGGAUUCUCUGCUAACUGUAAAAUGUGGGCUGAAUGUCUUCUGCAUGUCAAUUUUUCAGCUACAAAAUUCAGAUUUUUAAUGAACAACUAUGUUUAAUGUAUGCUGUUAGCUGAAGUAUAAAUGGCUAAAUAAAUAAAAACUAUUGUUUCCUCAGUA
This is a long non-coding RNA of Pipra filicauda (Wire-tailed manakin), 5979 nucleotides long. RefSeq lists it as uncharacterized. The record is from RefSeq and is a predicted model, not a curated record. The transcript is spliced from 2 exons. Lineage: Eukaryota; Metazoa; Chordata; Aves; Passeriformes; Pipridae.